RNAcentral lists this ribosomal RNA (253 nucleotides) under uncultured bacterium. RNAcentral describes it as "partial 16S ribosomal RNA". It matches the Rfam family "Bacterial small subunit ribosomal RNA", at positions 524 to 776 of the family's 1533-position model. The record is from RNAcentral.
UACGAAGGGGGCGAGCGUUGUUCGGAUUUACUGGGCGUAAAGGGCGCGUAGGCGGCCUUGUCAGUCAGGCGUGAAAGCCCCGGGCUCAACCUGGGAACGGCGCUUGGGACGGCGAGGCUGGGGUUCGGGAGAGGAGAGUGGAAUUCCCAGUGUAGAGGUGAAAUUCGUAGAUAUUGGGAGGAACACCAAUGGCGAAGGCAGCUCGCUGGGACGUUACUGACGCUGAGACGCGAAAGCGUGGGGAGCAAACAGG